CCCUUAGACGCUCUGGGCCGCACGCGCGCUACACUGACCAGUGCAACAAGCAUCCGUCCUUGGCCGACAGGCUCGGGCAAUCUUUGAACGCUGGUCGUGAUGGGGAUAGACUUUUGCAAUUUUUGGUCUUCAACGAGGAAUUCCUAGUAAACGCAAGUCAUCAACUUGCAUUGAUUACGUCCCUGCCCUUUGUACACACCGCCCGUCGCACCUACCGAUUGAAUGGUCCGGUGAAGCCUCCGGAUUGGCGCGCACCUCGGUGCCGCCGAGAAGUUGGCUAAACCUUACCAUUUAGAGGAAGGUGAAGUCGUAACA
Molecule: ribosomal RNA, 315 nt
Filed under: uncultured eukaryote
Lineage: Eukaryota
Description: partial 18S ribosomal RNA
Rfam family: Eukaryotic small subunit ribosomal RNA
Source: RNAcentral